UCUUGUCUACUUCCUCUUCCACCACGGCGGCGGCGACGCUCUUCGGUUGUUGUUGUUGUUUCUUCCUCCUCUUGUCCUUCAUCUCCUCGUGUAUGUCUUCGCCGUGUUGUUCUCUUCCAUUCACUACCUCCUCUUCCUCUUCCUCUCUCUUCCUCCACCUCCUCUUCUUCAUGUCCUCCUCGGUGUCUUCUUGACUCGCGAGGUUCAUCUUCUUCUUCUUUCUCUUCUUCUUCUCUUUCCUCCCUUCGUUCACGUCGUCUUCUCUGGCGUGGUUCUUCUUUUUCUUCCUCUUCCUCCUCUUGUUCUUGCCACUUGGGGCUGAUAACUCCCAAACCUUCCUCCACUCUUAUGAUUUGUUUGAUUCGUUCAUUCGGAUUUUGAAGUUUGUGUACUGUAUCCUCGUCUAUGUUGAGAGCUUGAGAUAAAAACUGUGGGUCAAAUCCACUCAGUAUGUUGUUUUUUCCUUCUUGUUCCUCUUCUUUCUGGUGUUGUCCAUGCCUGCGUCCACUAGGUCUUUGAUGCUGCUGUCGCUGCUGCCUUUGUUGCUGGGUCUCUGGAUACUCUUCUUCUGGGUUACCAGCUAGAUAGAAUCUCUGCAAAGCCAAGUAAAUAUAAACUAAGUAACCAACUAAUCAAAAUAUAUAAACUACAUGUAUAUAAGAAGUUAGAGGUUAAUUUAUAUAAAGUAAUGAUGUUGAAAUCUGGUGUCACAUAUUUUAUUGACAUAAUUUUGGAUAAAAGAUCCAUGAUCAUGUUAUGUUUACAACUUCAUCACAAUAAAACACUGAUAUCACAAUAUUUAGUUGUGAAGUAUACUUACUCUUGGGUUUGGAUCAAGCUGGUUUGACAAGCUGGUAGUGUCAAGAAGAUUGAUAGCAACAAGUUGUUCAUCACCGUAGUUAUAAGUCCAGUAAGGGGUUCCAGGUGGAAUUACUAAGAUAUCACCUUCUCUGAAGU
This 957-nucleotide long non-coding RNA is filed under the name Lupinus angustifolius (narrow-leaved blue lupine). Its description in RNAcentral is "long non-coding RNA (LANG_LNC001840)". Lineage: Eukaryota; Viridiplantae; Streptophyta; Magnoliopsida; Fabales; Fabaceae. The record is from RNAcentral.